Molecule: ribosomal RNA, 446 nt
Filed under: uncultured bacterium
Lineage: Bacteria
Description: partial 16S ribosomal RNA
Rfam family: Bacterial small subunit ribosomal RNA
Source: RNAcentral
CCUACGGGGGGCAGCAGUCGAGAAUCAUUCACAAUGGGGGAAACCCUGAUGGUGCGACGCCGCGUGGGGGAAUGAAGGUCUUCGGAUUGUAAACCCCUGUCAUGUGGGAGCAAAUUAAAAAGAUAGUACCACAAGAGGAAGAGACGGUUAACUCUGUGCCAGCAGCCGCGGUAAUACAGAGGUCUCAAGUGUUGUUCGGAAUCACUGGGCGUAAAGCGUGCGUAGGCUGUUUCGUAAGUCGUGUGUGAAAGGCGCGGGCUCAACCCGCGGACGGCACAUGAUACUGCGAGACUAGAGUAGUGGAGGGGGAGCCGGAAUUCUCGGUGUAGCAGUGAAAUGCGUAGAUAUCGAGAGGAACACUCGUGGCGAAGGCGGGUUCCUGGACAUUAACUGACGCUGAGGCACGAAGGCCAGGGGAGCGAAAGGGAUUAGAUACCCCUGUAGUC